UUAUGUCAUGUUAUCGAUAUGUGAAUACAUAGCAUAUCAGAAGGCACACCCGGAGAACUGAAACAUCUUAGUACCCGGAGGAAGAGAAAGAAAAUUCGAUUCCCUUAGUAGCGGCGAGCGAAACGGGAAGAGCCCAAACCAACAAGCUUGCUUGUUGGGGUUGUAGGACACUCUAUACGGAGUUACAAAGGACGACAUUAGACGAAUCAUCUGGAAAGAUGAAUCAAAGAAGGUAAUAAUCCUGUAGUCGAAAAUGUUGUCUCUCUUGAGUGGAUCCUGAGUACGACGGAGCACGUGAAAUUCCGUCGGAAUCUGGGAGGACCAUCUCCUAAGGCUAAAUACUCUCUAGUGACCGAUAGUGAACCAGUACCGUGAGGGAAAGGUGAAAAGCACCCCGGAAGGGGAGUGAAAUAGAACCUGAAACCGUGUGCUUACAAGUAGUCAGAGCCCGUUAAUGGGUGAUGGCGUGCCUUUUGUAGAAUGAACCGGCGAGUUACGAUUUGAUGCAAGGUUAAGCAGUAAAUGUGGAGCCGUAGCGAAAGCGAGUCUGAAUAGGGCGUUUAGUAUUUGGUCGUAGACCCGAAACCAGGUGAUCUACCCUUGGUCAGGUUGAAGUUCAGGUAACACUGAAUGGAGGACCGAACCGACUUACGUUGAAAAGUGAGCGGAUGAACUGAGGGUAGCGGAGAAAUUCCAAUCGAACCUGGAGAUAGCUGGUUCUCUCCGAAAUAGCUUUAGGGCUAGCCUCAAGUGAUGAUUAUUGGAGGUAGAGCACUGUUUGGACGAGGGGCCCCUCUCGGGUUACCGAAUUCAGACAAACUCCGAAUGCCAAUUAAUUUAACUUGGGAGUCAGAACAUGGGUGAUAAGGUCCGUGUUCGAAAGGGAAACAGCCCAGACCACCAGCUAAGGUCCCAAAAUAUAUGUUAAGUGGAAAAGGAUGUGGCGUUGCCCAGACAACUAGGAUGUUGGCUUAGAAGCAGCCAUCAUUUAAAGAGUGCGUAAUAGCUCACUAGUCGAGUGACACUGCGCCGAAAAUGUACCGGGGCUAAACAUAUUACCGAAGCUGUGGAUUGUCCUUUGGACAAUGGUAGGAGAGCGUUCUAAGGGCGUUGAAGCAUGAUCGUAAGGACAUGUGGAGCGCUUAGAAGUGAGAAUGCCGGUGUGAGUAGCGAAAGACGGGUGAGAAUCCCGUCCACCGAUUGACUAAGGUUUCCAGAGGAAGGCUCGUCCGCUCUGGGUUAGUCGGGUCCUAAGCUGAGGCCGACAGGCGUAGGCGAUGGAUAACAGGUUGAUAUUCCUGUACCACCUAUAAUCGUUUUAAUCGAUGGGGGGACGCAGUAGGAUAGGCGAAGCGUGCGAUUGGAUUGCACGUCUAAGCAGUAAGGCUGAGUAUUAGGCAAAUCCGGUACUCGUUAAGGCUGAGCUGUGAUGGGGAGAAGACAUUGUGUCUUCGAGUCGUUGAUUUCACACUGCCGAGAAAAGCCUCUAGAUAGAAAAUAGGUGCCCGUACCGCAAACCGACACAGGUAGUCAAGAUGAGAAUUCUAAGGUGAGCGAGCGAACUCUCGUUAAGGAACUCGGCAAAAUGACCCCGUAACUUCGGGAGAAGGGGUGCUCUUUAGGGUUAACGCCCAGAAGAGCCGCAGUGAAUAGGCCCAAGCGACUGUUUAUCAAAAACACAGGUCUCUGCUAAACCGUAAGGUGAUGUAUAGGGGCUGACGCCUGCCCGGUGCUGGAAGGUUAAGAGGAGUGGUUAGCUUCUGCGAAGCUACGAAUCGAAGCCCCAGUAAACGGCGGCCGUAACUAUAACGGUCCUAAGGUAGCGAAAUUCCUUGUCGGGUAAGUUCCGACCCGCACGAAAGGCGUAACGAUUUGGGCACUGUCUCAACGAGAGACUCGGUGAAAUCAUAGUACCUGUGAAGAUGCAGGUUACCCGCGACAGGACGGAAAGACCCCGUGGAGCUUUACUGUAGCCUGAUAUUGAAAUUCGGCACAGCUUGUACAGGAUAGGUAGGAGCCUUUGAAACGUGAGCGCUAGCUUACGUGGAGGCGCUGGUGGGAUACUACCCUAGCUGUGUUGGCUUUCUAACCCGCACCACUUAUCGUGGUGGGAGACAGUGUCAGGCGGGCAGUUUGACUGGGGCGGUCGCCUCCUAAAAGGUAACGGAGGCGCUCAAAGGUUCCCUCAGAAUGGUUGGAAAUCAUUCAUAGAGUGUAAAGGCAUAAGGGAGCUUGACUGCGAGACCUACAAGUCGAGCAGGGUCGAAAGACGGACUUAGUGAUCCGGUGGUUCCGCAUGGAAGGGCCAUCGCUCAACGGAUAAAAGCUACCCCGGGGAUAACAGGCUUAUCUCCCCCAAGAGUUCACAUCGACGGGGAGGUUUGGCACCUCGAUGUCGGCUCAUCGCAUCCUGGGGCUGUAGUCGGUCCCAAGGGUUGGGCUGUUCGCCCAUUAAAGCGGUACGCGAGCUGGGUUCAGAACGUCGUGAGACAGUUCGGUCCCUAUCCGUCGUGGGCGUAGGAAAUUUGAGAGGAGCUGUCCUUAGUACGAGAGGACCGGGAUGGACAUACCUCUGGUGUACCAGUUGUCGUGCCAACGGCAUAGCUGGGUAGCUAUGUGUGGACGGGAUAAGUGCUGAAAGCAUCUAAGCAUGAAGCCCCCCUCAAGAUGAGAUUUCCCAACUUCGGUUAUAAGAUCCCUCAAAGAUGAUGAGGUUAAUAGGUUCGAGGUGGAAGCAUGGUGACAUGUGGAGCUGACGAAUACUAAUCGAUCGAAGACUUAAUCAA
Molecule: ribosomal RNA, 2786 nt
Filed under: Staphylococcus aureus
Lineage: Bacteria; Bacillati; Bacillota; Bacilli; Caryophanales; Staphylococcaceae
Description: partial 23S ribosomal RNA
Rfam family: Bacterial large subunit ribosomal RNA
Source: RNAcentral